This 482-nucleotide ribosomal RNA is filed under the name uncultured bacterium. RNAcentral describes it as "partial 16S ribosomal RNA". It matches the Rfam family "Bacterial small subunit ribosomal RNA", at positions 30 to 507 of the family's 1533-position model. The record is from RNAcentral.
AUUGAACGCUGGCGGCAUGCCUUACACAUGCAAGUCGAACGGUAACGGGCCUUCGGGUGCCGACGAGUGGCGAACGGGUGAGUAAUACAUCGGAACGUGCCCGAUCGUGGGGGAUAACGAGGCGAAAGCUUUGCUAAUACCGCAUACGAUCUACGGAUGAAAGCAGGGGACCGCAAGGCCUUGCGCGGACGGAGCGGCCGAGGGCAGAGGAGGUAGUUGGUGGGAUAAAAGCUUACCAAGCCGACGAUCUGUAGCUGUUCUGGGAGGGGGAUCAGCCACACUGGGACUGAGACACGGCCCAGACUCCUACGGGAGGCAGCAGUGGGGAAUUUUGGACAAUGGGCGCAAGCCUGAUCCAGCCAUGCCGCGUGCAGGAUGAAGGCCUUCGGGUUGUAAACUGCUUUUGUACGGAACGAAAAGCCUUCUUUUAAUACAGGAGGGUCAUGACGGUACCGUAAGAAUAAGCACCGGCUAACUACGUG